UGGGGAAUAUUGCACAAUGCGCGCAAGCCUGAUGCAGCCAUGCCGCGUGUAUGAAGAAGGCCUUCGGGUUGUAAAGUACUUUCAGUCGGGAGGAAGGUGGUAAGGUUAAUAACCUUAUCAAUUGACGUUACCGACAGAAGAAGCACCGGCUAACUCCGUGCCAGCAGCCGCGGUAAUACGGAGGGUGCAAGCGUUAAUCGGAAUUACUGGGCGUAAAGCGCACGCAGGCGGUCUGUCAAGUCGGAUGUGAAAUCCCCGGGCUCAACCUGGGAACUGCAUUCGAAACUGGCAGGCUAGAGUCUUGUAGAGGGGGGUAGAAUUCCAGGUGUAGCGGUGAAAUGCGUAGAGAUCUGGAGGAAUACCGGUGGCGAAGGCGGCCCCCUGGACAAAGACUGACGCUCAGGUGCGAAAGCGUGGGGAGCAAACAGG
This 429-nucleotide ribosomal RNA is filed under the name Chloroflexota bacterium. RNAcentral's name for it is "Chloroflexi bacterium partial 16S ribosomal RNA". It matches the Rfam family "Bacterial small subunit ribosomal RNA", at positions 355 to 776 of the family's 1533-position model. The record is from RNAcentral. Lineage: Bacteria; Bacillati; Chloroflexota.